GUUACACACGUUGCUUUAUUCAGUUCCUCCAGAAAAACGUGAUUAUCCGAUCGCAUAAUCCAAUGCACAAUCAGCCAAAGUCUGCAUAUUUAUACGGGGGCCGCAUUUUUUCAAAUACGCCGCACUUUCCCCGCAUAAAUUGCCGAUUUCUGCACAAAAAUAAUGCGGUGCUUGCUUGAUUUAA
Etheostoma cragini (Arkansas darter) is the source of this 184-nucleotide long non-coding RNA. RefSeq lists it as uncharacterized. The record is from RefSeq and is a predicted model, not a curated record. The transcript has 6 exons. Lineage: Eukaryota; Metazoa; Chordata; Actinopteri; Perciformes; Percidae.